CAGACCUCUAAUCGAAAAAG
RNAcentral lists this ribosomal RNA (20 nucleotides) under Herpetineuron toccoae. Its description in RNAcentral is "partial 25S ribosomal RNA". Lineage: Eukaryota; Viridiplantae; Streptophyta; Bryopsida; Hypnales; Anomodontaceae. The record is from RNAcentral.